Ctenopharyngodon idella (grass carp) is the source of this 2411-nucleotide long non-coding RNA. RefSeq lists it as uncharacterized. The transcript is spliced from 2 exons. NCBI's taxonomy places the organism in Eukaryota, Metazoa, Chordata, Actinopteri, Cypriniformes, Xenocyprididae. The record is from RefSeq and is a predicted model, not a curated record.
GUUUCAUUUGCUAUUUGGACCUCUGAAGGUGGACAGAAGAUACAGAAAUCAACGCUCAGGCUUCGAAAAGACAUGACACACAAUUGAUAGCAAAAGCAUCCAGUGGGACUGAUGGUAGCCAGUGACAGCUGCCACCCUAAACAUGAGCUCGCAUAUUGAUGCAUGAACAAUUUUCUGACUUACGUAUGAAGGAGCGUCACUUAUAAUCAACCCUUCUGCAGAUAUUGUCCAAAGAAGAAUUGAAAUCUUUACAUAUCUAAUAUAGCCUACUAAAGCACACUAUUCAUUUGAGUUGCAUCUUCUGUCGGCUGUAAAAUGUUUUUAAAUCUGACAGAGACAGAAAUUGCAUCGCCAAAUCAAUGUACUAUAUUUAAGUUUAUAAAUGUAAAUGUUUUUUCUUCCUUUUUAUUUUUUAAUUGGUUGAAAAUGUUGUUUAGCUGAACAACAAAUGUAAACAUAACACUGCAUUCACACGGGCCGUCAGCGUUAAAGCUUCUCAUUUACUUUGAAUGGGUGCCGUCAUGCAUUGCCGAACUGAAUUGUGGGUUCCAUUGCCUCGCUUCACUCACUUUGCUUGCAGCAGAAGUUAAAGAUUUCUCAACUUUUCAAGCGCCAACGCAGCCAAUCUGAUUGCCUUAUGCAAACACCCUAGAGCAGUUGCUAGACAGUUGCGUUCAUGCAACACUGGAAAGUAAUGUGUUUGGCUGUUGUACUAUAGUCACGUCAGCUUAAGCUUCAGACACGUCCUUCGUCAAGCGUUCACGCCGACGCGCUGUGUGAAUGCAGCGUUAAUCGUAUAGUGAUGUUACUAUCUGCUUAUCUUCACCGAGAGAUGCACCGAUGCAUCGGCCGCCGAUAUUUAUGGACCGGUUUUUGAUCAAUUUACAACCAUCGGUAUAUCGGCUAUAGCAUGAAAAGGCCGAUAUAACAAACCAAUGGUUUAUUAAUUAAGGCACUGAGCUGUAUAAUUUCUGUUGCAUAAUCCAAGAUUAAUCCUAUUAUUCCCACUCUGCUGCUGUCUGCGUUUUAAUGUUAAUCAAACAACAAAAGACAAAAAGAAUUAAUAUGUAUAGGGCCCUAUGAUUUCCGCAAUGCGGAAAACGCAUAUGGAAUCAACGCAAUGUAAUAAUAAUAUAUGAAUUUCAUUUAUACGGUGAAGUAUAUGCAGUGUUAUUUUACAUUUGUUUACUUUAUUUAUGUAUCUGAAGACUGGAGAUGGUCCUCACUGCAGAACACGAGAUCUAGAUCCAACUCCUCCCACUUUACAUAUCCCUAAACCUACCUUCCUCUGCCCCCCUGGAUCUAAACCUACCCAUCUUCAACCCCUGAAUCUGGAUCCAACUCCUCCCACUUUACAUAUCCCUGCAUCUACCCGUCUCCACCCCCUGGAUCUAAACCUACCAGUCUCUGCCCUCUGGAUCUCGUGCAGUGAGGGGCUUCUGGGAAACUGUUACAACUCGAGGAGCACGGGCGUGUCUCUGCAGUGGCAUUAUGUCAUCAGCUUGCGAACACAGUUUACAGGGAAAGACCGAUGUAAGCCUGUGGCUGUAGGAUACAGUGUUUCCAAUGCCACUUGUCCUGUAUUUUUUCUUUCAAUAGUGAAUAGACCUAUAUUAAGGGUAACAUUUGUGCAACAGAAUGCAGUGUUAAAUUAAUACACACUAUUUGGUGUGACAUCUGGAUGGCAGCCACAAACAUCUUCAUUCAUGUUGUUUCUUUCUUUUUUAUAUGCAUUAUCUUUCCUUAUGUACUAAUUUCUUAAAAUAUUCAAUAUUCAUUUACUCAUUACUUUUCAUUAUAUUUUACUUUACUGUUACUUUUUAUUUACUUAUGUAUAUGUAAGCCUAUAUAUGUUGUGUGCUGUAUUGUCAUCUCAACUUCACAGUUGUGACUCAUUCAUUUCCUUUUUUUAUUUUGGCAAUGUUACAUUAUACGAUAACAACUGUAGAAUUUAUGCUGGUCAGACAAAGACUAAUCUGGUCUGAUAAAAUUCACCUAAGAUCAUUCAAUAAUUUUUUUUUUUUUUUUUCAUAAAAAUUUGCUUUCUGUUAUUUGUCUGUCUGCAUGUCUUUUGUAAAAGAGUUAACAUGGCAAGCUGUUGACAUGGUGUUGAAUAGGCCAAAAUCUGAUAUGUCAGGUCUAGUGAAGACUGGAUCUUACACAUUUAAUUCCUUAACUUUUCACCUGAUGUAUAACACUGAUAAAACAUUUGGCAUUAAACUUUAUAUAGUUUAAAAGAAAGGCCUCCUAGAAGGCACCAAGUCAAGGCCAAGACCAGAGUGUGUCCAGACCAAGACUUUGAGGGGCUGAGACAGAGACCAAGACCAGACCAGCACUCCUCACAUUCAUCUGAAACAUCCACUGUCUGAGAAAAGUCUUGAUGAAAUAAUAAACAUUAAUUUGAACUACAA